GGGCUGGAGGGGACCUGGGAGGGCUUCCUGCCUGACUCCAUCACACAUGUCUCUGUCCAGCUAAUAACACCAUUACCAGGCAACAGUUUACUACCAUCAAGUUCAGUGCUUUGACUUUGAUCAACUGACUGGGUUUAUCCAAAGUACAGCACUUUGAAGAUGUCAUCCCAUUGUCUUCUGACCUCUAUAAUUGCCACUGAGAGAUCUGCUGUCAGUCUGCUUAUCCUUCCACGGACUCAAGUUUCUUCAAUCUGAAGAUACAUGUCUUUCUCCAGGGACAUGUGGAAAAAAAAAAGAUGUUAUACAACCAUCAAAGUGGCAAAAAUAAAAAAAAUCAAGUAUUGGCAAAGAUGUGGGGAAAAUUCUCAUAAGCUACUGAUGAGAAUUUAUAAAUUAUUAUGACACCUUUGGGUUGCAAUCUGGGGAUACUGGCAAAGCAGAAAAUUGUACAACCUGUGAUCAAGCAAUUAUAAUUUUAGGCACCCAUCGUAGAGAAAACUUGAAUUCAUAGAAAAA
Long non-coding RNA from Pan troglodytes (chimpanzee), 516 nucleotides. RefSeq lists it as uncharacterized. Lineage: Eukaryota; Metazoa; Chordata; Mammalia; Primates; Hominidae. The record is from RefSeq and is a predicted model, not a curated record. The transcript has 4 exons.